GAUGAACGCUGGCGGCGUGCCUAAUACAUGCAAGUCGAGCGAACAGACGAGGAGCUUGCUCCUCUGACGUUAGCGGCGGACGGGUGAGUAACACGUGGAUAACCUACCUAUAAGACUGGGAUAACUUCGGGAAACCGGAGCUAAUACCGGAUAACAUGUUGAACCGCAUGGUUCAACAGUGAAAGACGGUCUUGCUGUCACUUAUAGAUGGAUCCGCGCCGCAUUAGCUAGUUGGUAAGGUAACGGCUUACCAAGGCAACGAUGCGUAGCCGACCUGAGAGGGUGAUCGGCCACACUGGAACUGAGACACGGUCCAGACUCCUACGGAGGCAGCAGUAGGGAAUCUUCCGCAAUGGGCGAAAGCCUGACGGAGCAACGCCGCGUGAGUGAAGAAGGUCUUCGGAUCGUAAAACUCUGUUAUUAGGGAAGAACAAAUGUGUAAGUAACUAUGCACGUCUUGACGGUACCUAAUCAGAAAGCCACGGCUAACUACGUG
Molecule: ribosomal RNA, 496 nt
Filed under: uncultured bacterium
Lineage: Bacteria
Description: partial 16S ribosomal RNA
Rfam family: Bacterial small subunit ribosomal RNA
Source: RNAcentral